GGGCGAUUAGCUCAGUUGGUAGAGCAGUUGACUUUUAAUCAAUUGGUCGCAGGUUCGAAUCCCGCACGACCCACCA
Molecule: transfer RNA, 76 nt
Filed under: Yersinia enterocolitica
Lineage: Bacteria; Pseudomonadati; Pseudomonadota; Gammaproteobacteria; Enterobacterales; Yersiniaceae
Also listed under: 1 other name
Description: tRNA-Lys(ttt)
Rfam family: tRNA
About the family: Transfer RNA (tRNA) molecules are approximately 80 nucleotides in length. Their secondary structure includes four short double-helical elements and three loops (D, anti-codon, and T loops). Further hydrogen bonds mediate the characteristic L-shaped molecular structure. tRNAs have two regions of fundamental functional importance: the anti-codon, which is responsible for specific mRNA codon recognition, and the 3' end, to which the tRNAs corresponding amino acid is attached (by aminoacyl-tRNA synthetases). tRNAs cope with the degeneracy of the genetic code in two manners: having more than one tRNA (with a specific anti-codon) for a particular amino acid; and 'wobble' base-pairing, i.e. permitting non-standard base-pairing at the 3rd anti-codon position.
Source: RNAcentral